UUUAAAAAAAAACAAGUGCUGCCCCCUUUUUCUCUGCUAGGGUUUUAUACCCUAUCUCAGUCGCCGCCGCCUUACCAACCCUCCGCCGCAACUCUGCAUGAUCGGAGACCGGAGGCGUGCCGAUUUGGGUUUUUAAACCCCUCUCAGCGGGCCCGAGGACAAAGGAAAUCGUGAAGAGCACGACGCGGGGGAGGCAGUUGGCCCCGAGACGUGCGGCGCCUGGGGAGUCUGAUGGAGGCGGGGCUUGCUGCGGCUAGGGUUUGGGUUGAAUUGUUUAGGGUUUCUGCUGAAAAUGUUGUGGGCUGCUUGUUGGGCUUGUAAAAAACUGAGUUGUGCCCCAUUGUUUAUUUCACACGGGCCCGGGCUAAUUUGGGCCUACUACAACAUGUAUAUAUACACGUACAUAUUUUUCAUAACUUCUUUAUAUAUAUGUGCAUAUGCACGCUUAUAUUUCUGUA
Molecule: long non-coding RNA, 458 nt
Organism: Gossypium raimondii (Peruvian cotton)
Lineage: Eukaryota; Viridiplantae; Streptophyta; Magnoliopsida; Malvales; Malvaceae
Exons: 2
Source: RefSeq, a predicted model, not a curated record